RNAcentral lists this unclassified non-coding RNA (520 nucleotides) under uncultured Glomus. RNAcentral's name for it is "SSU rRNA". It matches the Rfam family "Eukaryotic small subunit ribosomal RNA", at positions 569 to 1090 of the family's 1831-position model. Lineage: Eukaryota; Fungi; Glomeromycota; Glomeromycetes; Glomerales; Glomeraceae. The record is from RNAcentral.
AGCAGCCGCGGUAAUUCCAGCUCCAAUAGCGUAUAUUAAAGUUGUUGCAGUUAAAAAGCUCGUAGUUGAAUUUCGGGAUCAAAGGAUCGGUCAUGCCUUGGUAUGUACUGGUUUUAUUGGUUCUCACCUUCUAAAGAACCAUAAUGUCAUUCAUUUGAUGUUAUGGGGAAUUAGGACUGUUACCUUGAAAAAAUUAGAGUGUUUAAAGCAGGCUUACGCUUGAAUACAUUAGCAUGGAAUAAUGAAAUAGGACAUCAGAUUCUAUUUUGUUGGUUUCUAGGAUCGAUGUAAUGAUUAAUAGGGAUAGUUGGGGGCAUUAGUAUUCAAUUGUCAGAGGUGAAAUUCUUGGAUUUAUUGAAGACUAACUACUGCGAAAGCAUUUUGCCAAGGAUGUUUUCAUUAAUCAAGAACGAAAGUUAGGGGAUCGAAGACGAUCAGAUACCGUCGUAGUCUUAACCAUAAACUAUGCCGACUAGGGAUCGGAUGAUGUUAAUUUUAUAAUGACUCAUUCGGCACCUUA